UAAUUUCACUUUGGCAAACGUCAUUGGAUGUUAUUAUUGACAUGUUGUUUCCUUUGUGGUCGUUUCUGAAAAGUGAAGCAGACUAGGUUUUUCCGGGAAAACACUCAAUACCACGAAAUGGAAGAGUCUAUAUUGUAGUACCAAGGAAACCUCGGGGUAUCAGUCGAUGGAAACAUGAAUAAAUCUGUGAUAAUUUGCAUUUAGUCAUUUAGUUUGGAGUUCUUAUUAGACCAUGGCUGUCGCAACGACGACAACCACUACUGUUCAACACCAAAAUAAAACUCAAACAUUCAGAACAACCCAGUCUCAUCACCACAAGAGGAAAAGAAGAAGGAAUACCAGUGAAGUCAGCAGUUGUUUGAAAUAUCUGAUUUUCACAUUCAAUGUUGUUUUAUGGUUUUUCGGUCUUCUUGUUCUUGCUGUUGGUUUAUGGGCUUGGACUGAAAAGGACACUUUCAAUAAUUUAGGAAAAGUGGCCAACAUUUAUCUUGAUCCAGCCUUCGUUCUGAUAUGUAUAGGAGCCCUCACUUUCCUAAUCGGGUUCACCGGUUGUGUUGGAGCCUUACGGGAGAAUACAUGUCUUCUUGGAAUGUAUGCUCUUAUUCUGUCCAUUCUACUCCUCUUUGAGAUGAGUGCUGGAAUUCUAGGAUUCAUAUUCAAAGAUUGGAUAAAAUCUCAAGCAUCAACGGGCUUCCAAACUUUUAUUGUACACUAUAGAGAUGAUCCAGACCAACAGAAUCUCAUAGAUUGGAUACAGGAGGAAUGGUUGCACUGCUGUGGAGUAGAUGGUCCAAAGGACUGGGACUACAACCAAUAUUUCAACUGUUCCUCUAGUGAUGUUGGAAGUAGGGAAGCUUGUGGUGUACCCUUUUCUUGUUGUAAACGUAAACCCAAUGAAGCAAUAAAAAACAAACAAUGUGGAUAUGAUGUGAGGAAACCAGGAUUUAAUCUCAAUGCUUCUCUUGUCAUAAAUGAAAGAGGUUGUUUAGAAGCAAUUGAGGAGUGGAUGGAAAGAAACAUGAUUCCAAUAGCUACAUAUAUUUUUGUUUACUUUUUCUUCCAUGGUGGCAGGGUUGACCAUUUAUAGCAACAUAACAUAAUGUAAUUGAAAGUGCAAUAUAUCAAAUGACCGCCACGUCUUGAAAGAAUAAGCUCGCUUAUUUUUCAAAUCAAUUGUACAUUGGUAGAAAAUUGUCUUAUACAUUGAUAUUGGGCAUAUGCUUUGCUCAAAAUCUCAGAGCUGACAUUUUUGCGCAGAUAUCCAAAUGGAGACACUGACAUACAAGAACUCCCACAGCAGUCUAAUUCAAUAAAUACACUGCGUGGGAGGCUCUUUUUAUUUCGUUCCGAUUAUUUCAAAUACCUUUAGUACAGAAAAGACGAUAAUGUUCAAAGAUAUUUUACCUCACAAUUCAUUUUCCAAGAUGUAAAGUUUUCUUGGAAGCAGAAGUGAUCAAUGAAUGUUAACUGAUUGAGUUGAUGACGUAUUAAGCAAGUUAUUUUUCAACAUUACAAUAUUUUAA
Molecule: RNA transcript, 1523 nt
Organism: Harmonia axyridis
Lineage: Eukaryota; Metazoa; Arthropoda; Insecta; Coleoptera; Coccinellidae
Gene name: tetraspanin-5
Exons: 9
Source: RefSeq, a predicted model, not a curated record